CCUACGGGGGGCAGCAGUGGGGAAUAUUGGACAAUGGGGGGAACCCUGAUCCAGCCAUGCCGCGUGUGUGAAGAAGGCCCUCGGGUUGUAAAGCACUUUCAGUGAGGAAGAACGCCUGGUGGUUAAUACCCAUCAGGAAAGACAUCACUCACAGAAGAAGCACCGGCUAACUCCGUGCCAGCAGCCGCGGUAAUACGGAGGGUGCGAGCGUUAAUCGGAAUUACUGGGCGUAAAGCGCGCGUAGGUGGCUUGAUAAGCCGGUUGUGAAAGCCCCGGGCUCAACCUGGGAACGGCAUCCGGAACGGGAGAGGUAGAGGGGAGGAGAGGAAGGGGGAAGGCGCGGUGGAGCGGGGAAGUGCGUAGAGGUCGGGAGGGGGGGCAGUGGCGAAGGCGGGCUUGGGGAGUGACGGUGAGGGGGGGGUGGGAGGGGGGGGGGAGCAAGGAGGAUUAGAUAGGCUUGGAGGG
Molecule: ribosomal RNA, 465 nt
Filed under: Vreelandella stevensii
Lineage: Bacteria; Pseudomonadati; Pseudomonadota; Gammaproteobacteria; Oceanospirillales; Halomonadaceae
Description: partial 16S ribosomal RNA
Rfam family: Bacterial small subunit ribosomal RNA
Source: RNAcentral